RNAcentral lists this ribosomal RNA (465 nucleotides) under Vreelandella stevensii. RNAcentral describes it as "partial 16S ribosomal RNA". It matches the Rfam family "Bacterial small subunit ribosomal RNA", at positions 338 to 795 of the family's 1533-position model. The record is from RNAcentral. Lineage: Bacteria; Pseudomonadati; Pseudomonadota; Gammaproteobacteria; Oceanospirillales; Halomonadaceae.
CCUACGGGAGGCUGCAGUGGGGAAUAUUGGACAAUGGGGGCAACCCUGAUCCAGCCAUGCCGCGUGUGUGAAGAAGGCCCUCGGGUUGUAAAGCACUUUCAGUGAGGAAGAACGCCUGGUGGUUAAUACCCAUCAGGAAAGACAUCACUCACAGAAGAAGCACCGGCUAACUCCGUGCCAGCAGCCGCGGUAAUACGGAGGGUGCGAGCGUUAAUCGGAAUUACUGGGCGUAAAGCGCGCGUAGGUGGCUUGAUAAGCCGGUUGUGAAAGCCCCGGGCUCAACCUGGGAACGGCAUCCGGAACUGUCAAGCUAGAGUGCAGGAGAGGAGGGUAGAAUUCCCGGUGUAGCGGUGAAAUGCGUAGAGAUCGGGAGGAAUACCAGUGGCGAAGGCGGCCUUCUGGACUGACACUGACACUGAGGUGCGAAAGCGUGGGUAGCAAACAGGAUUAGAUACCCCAGUAGUC